Molecule: long non-coding RNA, 73 nt
Organism: Neltuma alba
Lineage: Eukaryota; Viridiplantae; Streptophyta; Magnoliopsida; Fabales; Fabaceae
Exons: 3
Source: RefSeq, a predicted model, not a curated record
CUUGGCCAUGCUCCAUCUUCUGUGGCGCUUGACACAUUUGAUAAGUUUAACAGCAAAAUAAUAAAUGGAAAUG